Molecule: ribosomal RNA, 664 nt
Filed under: Salmonella enterica
Lineage: Bacteria; Pseudomonadati; Pseudomonadota; Gammaproteobacteria; Enterobacterales; Enterobacteriaceae
Also listed under: 1 other name
Description: partial 23S ribosomal RNA
Rfam family: Bacterial large subunit ribosomal RNA
Source: RNAcentral
GUGGGUAGUUUGACUGGGGCGGUCUCCUCCUAAAGAGUAACGGAGGAGCACGAAGGUUGGCUAAUCCUGGUCGGACAUCAGGAGGUUAGUGCAAUGGCAUAAGCCAGCUUGACUGCGAGCGUGACGGCGCGAGCAGGUGCGAAAGCAGGUCAUAGUGAUCCGGUGGUUCUGAAUGGAAGGGCCAUCGCUCAACGGAUAAAAGGUACUCCGGGGAUAACAGGCUGAUACCGCCCAAGAGUUCAUAUCGACGGCGGUGUUUGGCACCUCGAUGUCGGCUCAUCACAUCCUGGGGCUGAAGUAGGUCCCAAGGGUAUGGCUGUUCGCCAUUUAAAGUGGUACGCGAGCUGGGUUUAGAACGUCGUGAGACAGUUCGGUCCCUAUCUGCCGUGGGCGCUGGAGAACUGAGGGGGGCUGCUCCUAGUACGAGAGGACCGGAGUGGACGCAUCACUGGUGUUCGGGUUGUCAUGCCAAUGGCACUGCCCGGUAGCUAAAUGCGGAAGAGAUAAGUGCUGAAAGCAUCUAAGCACGAAACUUGCCCCGAGAUGAGUUCUCCCUGAGACUUAAAGUCUCCUGAAGGAACGUUGAAGACGACGACGUUGAUAGGCCGGGUGUGUAAGCGCAGCGAUGCGUUGAGCUAACCGGUACUAAUGAACCGUGAGGCUU